RNAcentral lists this transfer RNA (627 nucleotides) under uncultured cyanobacterium. RNAcentral's name for it is "partial contains 16S ribosomal RNA, 16S-23S ribosomal RNA intergenic spacer, and 23S ribosomal RNA". The stretch from base 257 to 329 matches the Rfam family "tRNA". Lineage: Bacteria; Bacillati; Cyanobacteriota. The record is from RNAcentral.
CAGGGAGACAUAAACUGAUUAUGAUGUCUAAUUUAUAAAUUUAGGCCAUAAUCCUGUCACCUUAGGUCGAUCGGUACCUCUGAUUAUUAACUUAAAAAUUGAGGAAUUAAUUAUCAUAGUUUUUAAUUUCAGUUCCUAAACUUGUCUAGGUCACACCCAACAAACUUUCUCCUGGGCUAUUAGCUCAGGCGGUUAGAGCGCACCCCUGAUAAGGGUGAGGUCCCUGGUUCAAGUCCAGGAUGGCCCAUUCGUUGUUGGGGGUAUAGCUCAGUUGGUAGAGCGCCUGCUUUGCAAGCAGGACGUCAGCGGUUCGAGUCCGCUUACCUCCACUGAAAACCACCAAUAACUAAUUGCAGGAGAAUUUUUGUAAGUGACUUAGAUAUGUCUAUUUGAAAGAACCUAGCUUUUUGCCAUCUGCUUUAAAGUUGGUAAAAUGCUGGGCUCACAUGAAAUUUUCAUGUGAUUUCAGUAGAACCUUGAAAACUGCAUAGAUAGGAAGAAUAAAGCAUCUCAUGGAUGCAUAGUUCUGGAAAAAGAAAUUAGAUUUAUUUUAAUUAUCUAAUCUCCAGAAUUCAUGUUUAAUUCUUGAGUAAAAGCCGAGCACAAUUAUUUUGUGUUUGUAUUAAA